This 503-nucleotide ribosomal RNA is filed under the name uncultured bacterium. RNAcentral describes it as "partial 16S ribosomal RNA". It matches the Rfam family "Bacterial small subunit ribosomal RNA", at positions 30 to 523 of the family's 1533-position model. The record is from RNAcentral.
AUUGAACGCUGGCGGCAGGCUUAACACAUGCAAGUCGAGCGGGGUGAUGGUGCUUGCACUAUCACUUAGCGGCGGACGGGUGAGUAAUGCUUAGGAAUCUGCCUAUUAGUGGGGGACAACAUCUCGAAAGGGAUGCUAAUACCGCAUACGUCCUACUGGAGAAAGCAGGGGAUCACUUGUGACCUUGCGCUAAUAGAUGAGCCUAAGUCGGAUUAGCUAGUUGGUGGGGUAAAGGCCUACCAAGGCGACGAUCUGUAGCGGGUCUGAGAGGAUGAUCCGCCACACUGGGACUGAGACACGGCCCAGACUCCUACGGGAGGCAGCAGUGGGGAAUAUUGAACAAUGGGGGGAACCCUGAUCCAGCCAUGCCGCGUGUGUGAAGAAGGCCUUAUGGUUGUAAAGCACUUUAAGCGAGGAGGAGGCUACUUUAGUUAAUACCUAGAGAUAGUGGACGUUACUCGCAGAAUAAGCACCGGCUAACUCUGUGCCAGCAGCCGCCGUAA